UACAGAGGUGGCAAGCGUUGUUCGGAUUUACUGGGCGUAAAGGGUGCGUAGGCGGCCCCGUGUGUCGGAUGUGAAAGCCCACCGCUUAACGGUGGAAAGUCAUUCGAAACUGCGGAGCUAGAGUACAGGAGGGGAGAGCGGAAUUCUUGGUGUAGCGGUGAAAUGCGUUGAUAUCAAGAGGAACACCGGUGGCGUAAGCGGCUCUCUGGAAUGAUACUGACGCUGAGGCACGAGAGCUAGGGGAGCAAACAGG
This 253-nucleotide ribosomal RNA is filed under the name uncultured bacterium. Its description in RNAcentral is "partial 16S ribosomal RNA". It matches the Rfam family "Bacterial small subunit ribosomal RNA", at positions 524 to 776 of the family's 1533-position model. The record is from RNAcentral.